GAUGAAGAACGCAGCGAAAUGCGAUACUUGGUGUGAAUUGCAGAAUCCCGUGAACCAUCGAGUCUUUGAACGCAAGUUGCGCCCGAAGCCAUUAGGCCGAGGGCACGCCUGCCUGGGCGUCACACGUCGUUGCCCCCCCAUCUACUCCUUCGGGAUUGCGGGGGGCGGAUGAUGGCCUCCCGUGCGCCUCGUCGCGCGGUUGGCAUAAAUGCCAAGUCCUCGGCGACGCACGCCACGACAAUCGGUGGUUGCGAAACCUCGGUUGCCCGUCGUGUGCGGUCGUCGCGCAUCGAGGGCUCGAAAAAAUUGCCGGGCUCCGGCUCGACUUUCAACGCGACCCCAGGUCAGGCGGGGUUACCCGCUGAGUUUAAGCAUAUCAAUAAGCGGAGGA
RNAcentral lists this unclassified non-coding RNA (391 nucleotides) under soil metagenome. RNAcentral describes it as "partial contains 5.8S ribosomal RNA, internal transcribed spacer 2, and large subunit ribosomal RNA". The stretch from base 1 to 122 matches the Rfam family "5.8S ribosomal RNA", at positions 35 to 154 of the family's 154-position model. The record is from RNAcentral.